GUGCCAGCCGCCGCGGUAAUACGUAGGUGGCAAGCGUUGUCCGGAUUUACUGGGCGUAAAGGGAGCGUAGGUGGAUAUUUAAGUGGGAUGUGAAAUACUCGGGCUUAACCUGGGUGCUGCAUUCCAAACUGGAUAUCUAGAGUGCAGGAGAGGAAAGUAGAAUUCCUAGUGUAGCGGUGAAAUGCGUAGAGAUUAGGAAGAAUACCAGUGGCGAAGGCGACUUUCUGGACUGUAACUGACACUGAGGCUCGAAAGCGUGGGGAGCAAACAGGAUUAGAAACCCCGGUAGUCCAAU
This 295-nucleotide ribosomal RNA is filed under the name uncultured bacterium. RNAcentral's name for it is "partial 16S ribosomal RNA". It matches the Rfam family "Bacterial small subunit ribosomal RNA", at positions 505 to 799 of the family's 1533-position model. The record is from RNAcentral.